UCUUUAUCAUCUGUUGGCAGAUGGCAAAGAGACCAAAUAGGCAUUAAUUAUGUUUCUUCUUAUAUCAAUUCAUUUUCACAGAAAAUCAAACACAGAUAUAUAUAUAUAUCCAUGAACACAUAUCCAACACAUGUUACCAAUAGCCAUGAACACAUAUCCAACACAUGUUACCAAUAGUCAUGAACACAUAUAUAUCCAACACAUAUCCAUGAACACAUAUCCAACACAUAUUACAAGGAGCCAAAGGAGAGAACCAAUACCAAAGGAGAGAACCAGCACCACACUUGCACAUGGUAUUUUUCUGCAAUUAGGGCACUGCACCCACAAGCACUUGGGGCUAGUACCAUUAUAAACUGCUAAAAAAAUCACUGAUGCAUCUUCACACACGCUACUUGUGAGCCUAGCCUAAUUAAAUGGCCAUCUCUUUUACUUCCAUGAUAGUGGCUGAAAUGUCAGAUAUACAAGAAAGGAAAUCAUUUACUUGUGAAUAUUCUAAAUGAAGAGCAGAACCUAGAAUAUUUUGCCUUUGCCAACAUAAAUAAAUUGAGAACGAAGAUGAUAGUUUCAAGUGACAACUCACCAUUUCCCUUUGGUAGCACGCCAAGGAAGCACUCUCUUGACUGUGACCCCCCGAUCACAUUCAGUUCCGCUCCCUGCAGGCACAAGAAUUUUCUUUCUAUUCCAUUUCGCACCAUAUCUCAGCCAUCAUUCACCAUGCAUCUGGACAACUUCGGACCCAGCAAGGUUUUUUCUACAAAGAUCAAAGUGCUAAUAUAAGUUGUUAGGAGAAAAAGUGAAUUUUAUGGCACAUGUACUCUGUUCCCACCACAUGUAAAUUUUAGGAGGAAAAGCCAGCUACAGCCAUGAACCACAAAUACUAACCAAUCUCCACAAAUAUGAAAAUAUUGCAAUGAAUACAUGUUGCACGCCACUGCAGCCUGCAUCACUUCAUUAAAAACAUCACCACUUUCAUAGUAGCAAGAUACAAGCACUUACUCUUAUUCUAAAUAUAGGAAACAAGCAUCCAACCAGCAGAAUGGUGAAAUGUCAGUUCAUCGAAAACUGUUUGUUUGUUCAACAAGUAGAAUAUAUCAAGGGAAAGGGUAAGAAUCUAGAUUUAUUUUCUUUUAUCUUGCAUGGCUGCUACAAGUGUGAAUCAAGCUAUACAUUGCAACUGAAAUAUGGAUUUACAUAAUGUAUAAUUGUAAGUGCAUAACAUCCAAAUGGACAGAACGGUAGCAUAGAUGGAUAUCUAAACUAAAAUAAGCAUGUUCAAGUCUUAUCAAAUAGAACAACCAUAGGAGCAUGAUCAUGUCCAAAUAACCAAUAUUAAAGCAUAGAGCAAUGACUAGUAGAAUUUAAACAGGAAACAUGGUUUUCCAAAACAUAAAUUCAGAUUUGUGCAGGUUGCCCAGACUAUAUGACCAGUUUAGGAAUUACUAUAAUCAAGGAAGGAGGCCUUUUUCAAGAGCCAGCGUACUCGGAUAUCGUCCUUAUGAUUCAUCACAACAAACAAUUAACUAAACGCAAAAUUGUUAGCGAUGCAUAUAUUUUGCAUAUCAAUGCAAGGGAACAAAAACAAAACUCUGUGAUGGGGAUCAUGGAAGGUUCUUUGCUCAUAAUUUAUGAUCUGUUUAGGAUUUAUAAUCAAAGAAGGGACCUUUUUUAAGAGCCGCCUUGCUAUACUGUCCUAGUGAUUCAUGACAGCAAACUAUUCAGUUAACAAAAGAUAUCAGCUAAGCAUGAACUUUGGAAACUUCUGUGCAGCAUACACUAUAAUCACUCCUUAGGUGGUAGAAAGGGGAAGGAAUGAGAGGAGGGAUACCUCGGCCAGGACCUCGUCUACGACCUGCAGCUCAUUGGGAAGGGGUCAAAGCUGCUGCUGCAAGCUCCCACUCCGCUUAU
Molecule: long non-coding RNA, 1905 nt
Filed under: Triticum aestivum (bread wheat)
Lineage: Eukaryota; Viridiplantae; Streptophyta; Magnoliopsida; Poales; Poaceae
Description: long non-coding RNA (TAES_LNC026758)
Source: RNAcentral